Molecule: long non-coding RNA, 341 nt
Filed under: Citrus sinensis (sweet orange)
Lineage: Eukaryota; Viridiplantae; Streptophyta; Magnoliopsida; Sapindales; Rutaceae
Description: long non-coding RNA (CSIN_LNC000368)
Source: RNAcentral
AGACACAAAUCACAUUUCGCCUCGAUUCAUCCAUUUGUUCUUAUGACCAUUCGAAUUAAAAAAUUGGGGUGACCACUCAAAUCAAGGAGAGCCCUGCGGCCGCUGCCCAUUCUUGUUGACUUCGUCGUCCUUCAAUUAAUAUCUCACCCUACUCAGUCGUAACGGAGGUUAACAGCUAUCAAUACUAUACACUUCGAGGUUUUUUAAAUAUCGAAGGUUAAUUACAAUUUUCAAACAUUUGUCGUCGGUGUGGCAGCUCAUGUCGUUUUAAGAUGCGGCUUCUCUUGUACGCGUGGCAUUAUGUCUCAAUCUCGUAAGGGAAAGGGACGUGUUUCAACAGC